This 325-nucleotide ribosomal RNA is filed under the name uncultured eukaryote. Its description in RNAcentral is "partial 18S ribosomal RNA". It matches the Rfam family "Eukaryotic small subunit ribosomal RNA", at positions 1470 to 1796 of the family's 1831-position model. The record is from RNAcentral.
UCCUUAGAUGUUCUGGGCCGCACGCGCGCUACACUGAUGCAUUCAACAAGUUUUACCUUGGCCGAGAGGCCUGGGAAAUCUUUCAAAUAUGUAUCGUGAUAGGGAUAGAUUAUUGCAAUUAUUAAUCUUGAACGAGGAAUUCCUAGUAAAUGCAGAUCAUCAUUCUGCGUUGAUUACGUCCCUGCCCUUUGUACACACCGCCCGUCGCACCUACCGAUUGAAUGAUCCGGUGAAGCCUCGGGAUUGUGCCCAGAGAACUUUAUUGUGAUUUGGGUGUGAGAACUUGUCUAAACCUUAUCAUUUAGAGGAAGGUGAAGUCGUAACA